CGGGGACGGACAAGGGUGGCCCAUCCCAUCUCCGGAGGGUGUGCGUGCUGUGGGAGGGGGCGAUGAGGAGCCAUCCUGCCUCAAGCCUGAGCAAAGAGAUAAGUUUUAGACUUUGUCCAAGCCAAGGACUUUCAACGUCUUAACCUCCUGCCUUAAAAACCACGUCGUUGGUUCCAUUUUUCCUCCACUAGUUCCAAAAUGAUAUGCAGCUGGGAAUAUGGCUAUCCGAUUCCUGCUUUAACUAAUGGUUUUGGGUGGCAAUUGUACCUUGAUAUGCAAUUCAUAUUUCCCAUGAUGAUGCAAGAGCAUUGUGUGAUUCUACAUCCUUAACGCCUGUUGUUGUCAGGG
Molecule: long non-coding RNA, 348 nt
Filed under: Pan troglodytes (chimpanzee)
Lineage: Eukaryota; Metazoa; Chordata; Mammalia; Primates; Hominidae
Description: long non-coding RNA NONPTRT009485
Source: RNAcentral